AAAUUAAUAAAGUCAUAACAAAUUACAAUAACAUCACCGAGCUCCGUUGAUUAAUGUCUAUAUUUUAUUCUAACGCCGCAGCCAUGCAGUGUUCAAAAACGGUUAGGUGGUGUUUCGUGUUUAUAGCUGUUCUGUUUGUACUGACGUUUGUGAUUUGCUUAAAAUAUUCCGACCAUUUUGAAUUCACCAUUUAACCAGUCUUAUAAUUGUAAUGAAUCAAAAACAAGCGUACGAAUUCGACGAAAAAUCUAUAACAUUCAUAAAUAUUUUUCUCGGCUGAACCUAUUCAUUUGUUUUUAUUAUAGUGCAUUAUAUAUUAUAUUACAUUAUAUUAUCAUAUUAUAUUACUGCACCGUGUAUAUACCCACCAUAUAAAUCACACGCAAACGGAUCAUCGAUGAUGGAAAUUCCAUUUUUAGCGUAUUAUAUGCGUAAUCACGGAGAACGAAAAAAACUGUGCUGUGCACUGUGCAGUUGAUGACAUAUUAUAAUAUACCUACACGCAUCAUCAUCGUGAUGGUCACCUGCCACCAGCUGCGAUGUAAUUGAAAAUACGAAGGAACCUGCACUGUGUUUAUAAUAUAUAUUAUUUACAUGGCUAUAGUGUAUACUUGCGACGCAACGUGAAUCGGUUGUAUAGCCGUAUAGGUAUUAGAUCCGCAAGUAUCCAACAUUCAUAGCCAAAUUUGAUCACGAUGACCACCAGUGACGAACCACCAUUGAAUGAUAGUUCAUGAUGAUUGAUGAACAAUCAUAAUUAUAAUCAGGAACGGAUCUAUAUAGGAGGCCGGAUUUACUGCUGUCAGUCUCUAUUAUAAAAAUACAUAAUUAUAUUAUUCA
Metopolophium dirhodum (rose-grain aphid) is the source of this 840-nucleotide long non-coding RNA. RefSeq lists it as uncharacterized. The transcript has 4 exons. The record is from RefSeq and is a predicted model, not a curated record. NCBI's taxonomy places the organism in Eukaryota, Metazoa, Arthropoda, Insecta, Hemiptera, Aphididae.